Leopardus geoffroyi (Geoffroy's cat) is the source of this 499-nucleotide long non-coding RNA. RefSeq lists it as uncharacterized. The record is from RefSeq and is a predicted model, not a curated record. Lineage: Eukaryota; Metazoa; Chordata; Mammalia; Carnivora; Felidae. The transcript is spliced from 3 exons.
CUAUAAAAUGAGAUGUAGCUUUCCUCUGACAGUUCACAAGCAAGAGCAGGAGGGGAGGCAGCUUCCAAAAACGUUCUCCCAUCAACAUCGACCCAUCAGCGUUGGACAAGAUAUCAGUCACCAAGAUGCUGACCCUCUGGGCCCUGGUCUUCAUGCUGACGGUCCAGGCAAGAGCACUUGACCUGCAGAAUCCAUCUUUGCUGCUGGGAAAUCUCCCUCAAUUAGCCCUUGAGGUCACCAAAAAAGCCCCUCUCAAUCUGCCACCCAGACCACUGUUCAGAAGUGCCCCAAAAGAUUCUCCAUCUAAGAAACAUCCAACUAGGACCCCAGGAGGCAGGUGUCUACCAGUGGCCAGGUACUUCAUGUCUAGCAGCAAACUCGAAGAAUAUCUGAACGCCACGCUGCCCCCACAGAUCGAGAAGAUGCUGAUGUGUGAGGAGAUAGAUCUAGCUGGUGUGCUUGGGACAGUGAUAUCUACAUUGUCUAACUCCAACCUACU